UAAUCAAAUGGUAUAAUUAUCAAAUGGGAUAUGUAUAAGCAUUUAUAAAACUAAUAGUGUUUAUGUGACUAUUUAAACAAAUUAAUUUAUGAGGUUUGGGCGACUUUUUCCUUUAUUUUUUUAUUAAUUAAUUUGAACAGCUAAUUUGUCUAAGCAACUGUUGGGUUAUCAUAGAUUUAAGUUAAGUUAAAAUUUGAUCUCUAUUAAAAAUUAUAUUUAUUUUAGAUCUCAUUUCUGUUUAUUUACUUCAUGGAUUGGAUCAAAAUGAAAAAAAAAAAAAGAGCUAAUCCGUAAAACUGUAGAUUAAAUGUGAAUUUUGAUAAAAUUCACGUCUCAUGUACAAACGUAUGGAUCGACUACGGAUUGAAUUUCAUUAAUUUAUGAAUUAAAUUGGACCGAAAUUUUAUAACCUGUCAAUUGAUUGUGAAUCCUAAUCUAACCCACAGAAUCUGAGUUGUUUAGCAGAGAAAAGCCAUUAUAAGCCCAAUUUCAUGCCGCCACUUGGAACUUCAAAGUAGAAUCCACACGCCUAACCACACAAUUAGCAUAUUUUAAACACUUGGACUCUACCAAUGUCAACACUGUUAGGUUUUAAGCACUAAUUAACUAAUGCCCACAAUUAAUGGCUUUUGUGGUAAUAACUAAAUUACAAAAAAGCCAUCCUAUGGACACAUAAUCUCCAUGGCAGUUUCUUCAUGUAUAAGUUCUUCGGGCUUAUAGGACAUAGGUUGACAGGUCAACCUACAUCUGUUAUCUGCAUGCAUUAUUUCAAGUAUUAUUAUAAUCACUUUUGUUUAAUCCAGAUGAGUUUUUUUUUUUUUUUGAUUACUUAUCCUGAUGAGUUGAACAGAAUCUAUAUUGUUAAAUUUUUAAAUUUCACUGCUAGUAAACAUCUUUAUAAAAUUAGUGAGAAAUAUUGACUCGAUCAAACUUAAUUCUCACCAAUUAACAACUCAAACAAUACAAUAUUUAGAAUAUGAAAUUACAAUUUACUCAAAAUUGAGAUUAAAGUAAAAUUACUGCCCAUAAGUAAGUUUGGUAAUGCUAUAUCUUUUAAAAUGAAUGAUGUUAAUUGCGCUUUAAAAAUAAUCAGCUGCGAAGAUAAUUAGUUAAACACUUGAUAAAAUUUAUUUUUACAAGUCUUGUGAGUUUCAAAAGCAAUUGGAUGUAUUUAGUAAAUCUUAUUGUUAAACUGCUAUAAGAAUGUUAAUAAUUAAAAUGAACAAAAUAUUGAAAAAAUUUAUUUACACAUU
This 1253-nucleotide long non-coding RNA is filed under the name Citrus x clementina. RNAcentral's name for it is "Citrus clementina (C. clementina) long non-coding RNA (CCLE_LNC000267)". The record is from RNAcentral. Lineage: Eukaryota; Viridiplantae; Streptophyta; Magnoliopsida; Sapindales; Rutaceae.